This 386-nucleotide ribosomal RNA is filed under the name uncultured prokaryote. RNAcentral's name for it is "bacterial SSU rRNA". It matches the Rfam family "Archaeal small subunit ribosomal RNA", at positions 339 to 725 of the family's 1478-position model. The record is from RNAcentral.
GCGCGAAAACUUUACAAUGCUGGCAACAGCGAUAAGGGAACCUCGAGUGCCAGGUUACAAAUCUGGCUGUCGUGAUGCCUAAAAAGCAUUGCAUAGCAAGGGCCGGGCAAGACCGGUGCCAGCCGCCGCGGUAACACCGGCGGCUCGAGUGGUAACCGUUAUUAUUGGGUCUAAAGGGUCUGUAGCCGGCCGGAUAAGUCUCUUGGGAAAUCUGGCAGCUUAACUGUCAGGCUUUCAGGGGAUACUGUCUGGCUCGAGGCCGGGAGAGGUAAGAGGUACUUCAGGGGUAGGGGUGAAAUCUUGUAAUCCUUGAAGGACCACCAGUGGCGAAGGCGUCUUACCAGAACGGACCUGACGGCAAGGGACGAAAGCUAGGGGCACGAACC